UCUUUGUUGAAGCUGUUAGUAGCCUUCAUAAGAUCACUCAAUUUCAUUUUAGAAAUCGAUUUCUCAAACAUAGAAACCUUAAUGCCCUUUAUUCCCUUUAAACUCUUUGCCCAUUUAUUUCCUUCAGGGUCAUCAUCCUUCUUCUUCUUAAUCUUAGACAUCUUUCGGUAAUAGAAGAACAUGCCAAUACCCACAAUUAAUGCAGCAACAGUCACCCCACCAAUGGCAGCCCCUGCAAUAACCCCAGUGUGAGGACUCUUUGAAGAUCCAGGGCAGGCAUCCAAAACCCCCCCACAUAGUCCAGGAUUAUUUGCAUAAUCUUCUCUUGAAAAGGAGGCAUUUAGGAAUGAUGGCACAGGUCCAGUAAGAAGAUUAUUAGCUACACU
This 386-nucleotide unclassified non-coding RNA is filed under the name Hevea brasiliensis (rubber tree). The record is from RNAcentral. Lineage: Eukaryota; Viridiplantae; Streptophyta; Magnoliopsida; Malpighiales; Euphorbiaceae.